This 70-nucleotide transfer RNA is filed under the name Geukensia demissa (ribbed mussel). RNAcentral describes it as "tRNA-Ser". The record is from RNAcentral. Lineage: Eukaryota; Metazoa; Mollusca; Bivalvia; Mytilida; Mytilidae.
UAGGAUUGCAACGUCUGGCGUAGUGGGGCUGCUAACUUCAUUAUAAACAUGUGGUAAUGUUAAUUCCUAU